AUUGAACGCUGGCGGCAUGCCUUACACAUGCAAGUCGAACGGCAGCACGGGAGCUUGCUCCUGGUGGCGAGUGGCGAACGGGUGAGUAAUAUAUCGGAACGUACCCUAGAGUGGGGGAUAACGCAGCGAAAGUUGCGCUAAUACCGCAUACGAUCUACGGAUGAAAGCGGGGGAUCGCAAGACCUCGCGCGAUUGGAGCGGCCGAUAUCAGAUUAGGUAGUUGGUGAGGUAAAGGCUCACCAAGCCGACGAUCUGUAGCUGGUCUGAGAGGACGACCAGCCACACUGGGACUGAGACACGGCCCAGACUCCUACGGGAGGCAGCAGUGGGGAAUUUUGGACAAUGGGCGCAAGCCUGAUCCAGCAAUGCCGCGUGCAGGAUGAAGGCCUUCGGGUUGUAAACUGCUUUUGUACGGAACGAAACGGUGAGCUCUAAUACAGUUUGCUAAUGACGGUACCGUAAGAAUAAGCACCGGCUAACUACGUG
Molecule: ribosomal RNA, 486 nt
Filed under: uncultured bacterium
Lineage: Bacteria
Description: bacterial SSU rRNA
Rfam family: Bacterial small subunit ribosomal RNA
Source: RNAcentral